AUGGGAGGGAAGGCUCCAAAAACAAUUCUAACGGAUCAAGCCCGUGCAAUGGAGAAGGCUAUAUCUUCCCAGUGGCCUGAUACUACACACAGAUGGUGCAAAUGGCAUGUACUACAAAAAGCAAGGGAACACCUAGGACCUGUUUAUUCCAAAAAUAGUGACUUCAGAGACGAGUUUCACAAGCUGCUAGAGUAUAUAGUGACAGUAGACGAGUUCGAAACUGCAUGGGCUUGCUUAAUUGAGAAAUAUCAACUUGAAGACCAUCCAUGGCUCACUCAAAUAUACGAAGUUAGAGCAAAAUGGGCAAAGCCAUAUUUUGCAGGAGUCUUCUGUGAAAGGAUGACCAGCACACAACGUUUGGAGAGUGCAAACCACAUGCUCAAGCACUACGUGCAACCGGCAUCGUCUAUGAACAACUUUGUUAGGCAGUAUCAGAAAAUAUUGUUCGACCGCCAAUCAGAGGAAGAUUUUCAAGAGAAGAAGACUUGUGUGGGUGGCGUUGUUUUUAACCUUGGACUGCCACUAGAAUACCAUGCGAGCAAGGGCUAUACCGCAGCUAUGUAUGAGCUGUUUCAACAUGCAAUUUAA
RNAcentral lists this ribosomal RNA (588 nucleotides) under Triticum aestivum (bread wheat). RNAcentral describes it as "partial small subunit ribosomal RNA". The record is from RNAcentral. Lineage: Eukaryota; Viridiplantae; Streptophyta; Magnoliopsida; Poales; Poaceae.